RNAcentral lists this ribosomal RNA (672 nucleotides) under uncultured Streptococcus sp. RNAcentral's name for it is "partial 16S ribosomal RNA". It matches the Rfam family "Bacterial small subunit ribosomal RNA", at positions 111 to 776 of the family's 1533-position model. Lineage: Bacteria; Bacillati; Bacillota; Bacilli; Lactobacillales; Streptococcaceae. The record is from RNAcentral.
GAAAGGGAAAAAAAAUAACUACCAACACAACAAACCACAUCUGAAACGAAACUCAAAUCCAACAUUAUGUUUUACGGAAUCUUAGGGUUGGGGGAAGCUAUAUCAGCAGUAAAAAAACUUUGCGUCCCAACUCCCCCUUCGGAGAAGAAACGACCUGACCAAGGCGAUGAUUGGUAGGCCGGCCUGGAAGGGGGAUCGGCCACAAGGGGCUGAGCACACGGGCCCUUUACUCCUACGGGAGGCAGCAGUGGGGAAAUAUUUGGACAAUGGGCCAAAGAGUCUGAUCCAAGCAAUUCCUGUGGGCACGAUGAAGUUUUUCGGAAAGUAAAAGUGCUUUUCAGUUGGGGAAGAAAAAAAAUUGACGGUUCCAACAGAAAGAAGUGACGGGCUAAAAUACGUGCCAACAACCCCGGUAAAUACGUAUGUCACAAGCGUUAUCCGGAUUUAUUGGGCGUAAAGCGCGUCUAGGGUGGUUAUAUAAAUCUGAUGGGGAAAUGCAAGGCUCAACUCUGUAUUGCGUUGGAAACUGUGGUACUAGAGUACUGGAGAGGUAAGCGGAAACUACAAGUGUGGAGGUGAAAUUCGUAGAUAUUUGUAGGAAUGCCGAUGGGGAAGCCAGCUUACUGGACAGAUACUGACGCUGAAAGCGCGAAAGCGUGGGUAGCAAACAGG